CCUGGUAACCCAAAAUAAUUUAAAAAUUGAAUAAAAUUUAUCAUAACUAUUUUAAGUGUACAGUCCAGUGGUAUUAAAUGCGUUCAUGUUAUUCAACCAUUACUACCAUCCAUCUCCAAAGUCCUUUUCAUCAUAUAAAACUCUAUAAACAAUAAACAAGAAAUGACUCCCUAUUCCCCUCUUCUCUGCAGUCCCUGGCAACCACCAUUUUACAUAAGUUACAUGUUUAUAGCUGAAGUCUACAAAUUAUUCCAUAAAAUGGUUUUACCACAGUAUUUAUACGAUACCGAGUUGGGUAAAAGGGCUCAUGUGUCCUCCUAGGUUUUGUAUUGACCUUAGCAAAGCUAUAGAGUUUAUUAUGUGAUACUUACGUUUAUUUUUCAGGCUCUUACAGCACUACUUUCAGAUGACAGCAAAUUUGGCUUCAUUGUAAUAGAUGGCAGUGGUGCACUUUUUGGCACACUCCAAGGAAACACAAGAGAAGUCCUGCACAAAUUCACUGUGGAUCUCCCAAAGAAACAUGGUAAUGCAUGAGCCCUUUAACUUUGUGUCUAGCAAGAAAGUCAGUUUCUGAAAACAAGGAGCAUUUUAUUCUGCUAAACAUGUGGUUAAGGGAAUGGGGACAUUUAUAUUUCUCUGUUCAUUUCUCGGAUAGAUUUUUUUCUUGUUGUUGUUUUUCUCUUUUACUUUCACUUUUUGUGUUUGGAUAACUUCUCAAUAAUCACCCUUUUGUGUCAUAGGUAGAGGAGGUCAGUCAGCCUUGCGUUUUGCCCGUUUAAGAAUGGAAAAACGACAUAACUAUGUUCGGAAAGUAGCAGAGACUGCUGUGCAGCUGUUUAUUUCUGGGGACAAAGUGAAUGUGGCUGGUCUCGUUUUAGCUGGAUCAGCUGACUUUAAAACUGAACUAAGUCAAUCUGAUAUGUUUGAUCAGGUAAGUGAGAAAUAGAUGGAUCAAUUUUUAUGUAAGUCUCUAAGUGGGAAUAGGUAAGUCCUCUGUAUUUACCCUGGGACAUGCAUAUCUUUUUGAAUUUACAUAAAUAUUUCCCUGACUUUAAAAAACCUUGCUAUGAGAGCUAGAGGUAUAGCUCAGUGGUAGAGUGCUUGCCUAGCAUGCAUGAGGCCCUAGGUUCAAUCUUGUAGCACUGCAAAGGAAAGAAAAAGAAAAAACUUAGCUCUGAAUUAAACAGUAACAGGUUUAUAGGCAUUUAGUUUAAAAUGCCUCAUUCUUUUCUGGAUACUUUCUCUGUUGAAAUCAUUUUUAGGCAGGUUGCCAUAAUUAGCUUUAAAAUGGUUUGAUUUCAGAGAAACUAGCAGCUCUUUUUUUUUUUUUCCUGAGUUAUAACUGCAAUUAAAUCAAGUAGUGAAAUUCAGCUGUAUGACAGGCAGAAUUUUAAGACCAAAGCAUUGCCAGGUCCUAGCAGCUCCAGAGGCUGAGGCAAGAGGAUCUUGAGUUCAAAGCCAGCCUCAAUAACUUAGUAAAGCCCUGGGCAACUCAGCAAGACCCUGUCUCUAAAUAAAAUACAAAAAGAGGGGGGGGGUGGAUAUGGCCCAGUGUUUGAGUGCCCUGGAUUCAAUGCCUGGUACCCCCAAAAAAGGAUCAAAGCAUUUAAAUUCAGAGGAUCUUUUGGUUUGUGAUAGGGGUUCAGAAGUGAGAGCUGGGGGUGGGGCUGAGGCUCAGUGUUGCUUGCAACUUAAAAAUUUUUCUUCCUUUUUUUUUUUUUUUUUUUUAUUUAAGUGAAAGAGCUAGCAAGGCACAGUGGUACAUGCCUGUGAGGAGACUGAGGCAGGAGGAUAGGAAGUUCAAAGCCAGUUUCAGAAACUUAGCAAGGCCCUAAGCAGUUUUGCAAGACCUGUCUCAAAAUAAAAAGGGCUAGGAAUGUGGCUGAGAGGUUGAACACCUCUGGGUAUUUUGAAGUGCUAAUGUUUUUGUUUUUGUUUUUAAUUGUAUCAGAGGUUGCAAUCAAAAGUUUUAAAAUUAGUUGAUAUAUCCUAUGGUGGUGAAAAUGGAUUCAACCAAGCUAUUGAGUUAUCUACUGAAGUCCUCUCCAACGUGAAAUUCAUUCAAGAGAAGAAAUUAAUAGGUAUCAAUGAAAUGCAACUAUUUUGCUCAUUAUAUUUGUGUGUAAAUGUAGGUACGUACAUAACUGUAUGUAUGAAAAGGCACUGAAAAUAUAGAAGAUUUACCAUUUUCAUAAAAUUUUCUGCCUUCAUGGAAUCAUUUUUAAUCUUCCUUAGUUAGGUCUAAUAAGUGUUUGUAGCUACAAGAGAAAAUGUAAUAUAUAAUCAUCCCUGAGUAUCUGCAGAAGAUUCACAAUCUUGAAUCUUCUUGAAUAUACAAGUCCUUUAUAUAAAAUGUGGUUUAGUAUUUGCAUAUAAUCUACACACAUCCUCCUGUAUACUUUAAAUUAUCUCUAGAUUAUUAUGUAUAAUAACCACUACAACAUAAAUACUAUGUAAAUAAUUGUUAUGCUAUAUAUUGUUUAAGGAACAAUGUCAAGAAAAGGUGUAUGUGUUCAGUACAGAUGCAUCCAUCAUAGACCUAAGUACAUAAUACACAUAAGCAAAUGUAACUUUUUUCCUGAAUAUUUUUGAUCUGAAGUUCAUUGAAUUUGUGGAUAGUCAGCCAACUGUAUGUUUUAUUGUCUUGUCUCUAAUCCACAGGACGAUACUUUGAUGAAAUUAGUCAGGACACAGGCAAGUACUGCUUUGGUGUUGAAGAUACAUUAAAGGCUUUGGAAAUGGGCGCUGUAGAGAUUCUAAUAGUCUAUGAAAAUCUGGAUAUAAUGAGAUAUGUUCUUCAUUGCCAAGGCACAGAAGGUAAGAAAACUAGAAAAUAAGAUUCUUAUUUGUUACUUUCUUGUGUAUGCUGGAAAUCUGGGGUGGGCAUUUGGGGACAUGUGGCUGAUUUCAGAAGCAACCAGAAGGCAGUUGUAUGUACCACUCUCUUUUGGUUGUUUGAUAUGUCUUUAUGGUAGAAGUAGUGUACCUGGUAGAUGCUGAGUGCAUGCUAAACUCUGUAGGAAAGGAGGUUAAUACAAUGAGUCCAGGAGACGUUUUCUCAUCUAAUGUCACAGGGCUCAUACCUAUUAAUACAUGAGAGCCAGAUUAACAAGUUCUUUUUGUUGUUGUUGUUGUUUCAUUUUAAACUACAGAGGAGAAAAUUCUCUAUUUAACUCCAGAACAAGAAAAGGAUAAAUCUCAUUUCACAGACAAAGAGGUAUGUGAUUAUUUUCUUUGGUGGUAAACGCAAGGAAGCACAGACUCUCAGCCUUGGGAGACCAAACCUCAUACUAGUUAGGGAGUCAGCAGGAAGGGGUCAGCUUCUAUUUGCCAUGCACUGAUCUGAUUCCAAGGAAGGGGGCCUAGGAAUGGUUACUGCAGAUCUUUUUAAGUAAUUAAGCAGUCAGGAAAACAUUGUUGUUAUCCUUGAAAUAAUUUGAAUAGUUUCUGCUAUCUGUGAACCUAUACUGCUUUCUUUGCUUUUAUCAGUUCUUCCACUGCAGUGGCUUCUCUGCAUUUGAUGUAAAUGUAUACCAGUUUAAAAUUCUAUGAGUUGGAGGACUUGGGCCUUUAUGAAGCUGCUCCCAAAAGCAUUUGUGGCAUGCUUCUUCUGGGGUGUGAAUGAGUGAGCAACAGCAUGACUUCUGGAAUCAACAGUAGGAAUCAUAAGUUGAAGAAUUUGUUAAUGUUUCAUUAAAGGGUAGAGCCUGAGAAGUAUUAAAGUAUAAAGUAAUCAGAAUUUCUCUGCUAUUUCAGUUCUGUUACCAGAAACCAGAAUUCACUUUAUUUUACACACAUUUUAUACAUAUGCAUAAUGAGUAGGAGAAUUAGAGUGGUGGAAAGAGGGAUUGAGAGGGUUAAGAUGAACUUCAUUGUGUAUAAUGUUUUUGUUUCUCAUGGUCGCAUCUAUAGACGGGGCAGGAACAUGAGCUGAUUGAGAGCAUGCCCCUUUUGGAAUGGUUUGCUAACAACUAUAAAAAAUUUGGAGCUACAUUGGAAAUUGUCACAGAUAAGUCACAAGAAGGAUCCCAAUUUGUGAAAGGAUUUGGUGGAAUUGGAGGUGAGUAGCAAAUCAGCAAAUAUAACUUAAAACAAGGGUUUCAGGCCAGGGCCUCUCCUGGAUUAAGUAAUUUCAGGUAAAGUGUACUCAUGGUCUACUUGAGGCAGGUGGCUACACAACUUGAUUUGGAUUUUUUUCCCCUCUCCAUUACUGGGGAAUGAACCAAGGGGUUCACACAGCCCUUUUUAUUUUAUUUUGAGAUGAAGUUUAAGUUAUCAAUGCAGGUUUCAAACUUGGCAGUCCUUCCUCAGCCUCCCAAGUCAAUAGGAAUACAGGUGUGCACCACCACACCCAGCUGGAACAAUUUUAAUCAGUCACUCUUUGCUUUCUAGAAUUCUGCAAAUGAAUGGACUACCCUUAUAGAGCAACCCCUCCCUAUUCCAUGAACAUUGGUACUUACCCUUUGAUUUUUUUCUCUAGGUAUCUUGCGGUACCGAGUAGAUUUCCAGGGAAUGGAAUACCAAGGAGGAGACGAUGAAUUUUUUGACCUUGAUGACUACUAGGUAGUCGACAUGGGUCCGGCAAAAUGUGCCUCACCCUCCAGCAUCCAACCCAAGGAGCAUACCCGUGGUGGAAUCCAAACAGAUCCCUGCCUUACAAUUGGAACAUUUCCAGAACUUAAUCCAUGAGCAUUGGAUACUGAAAAGAAAACCGAAACAAAACCAGACCCAACCCUGUACAUUGGUUUGUCAUGGUGUCAGCGCAGCAGCCUGCAACUAAGUUCCUAAAUGCCACUUUGGACUAAUUUAAAAAGAAUCCCAGUUUUUACUUUUACUUGAUGGUGAAAUUGGUUGCUCUUGUAUUUUAUGAAAAAAAAAAUGAUUUUUUUAACCUUCAUACAUAGAAGCAAAAUACUUUAACUGCUGUAAACCUUCAAAAGUUAAUAGAAGCGAGAUCAUACUGGUUUGUUUCUUAUUUUGAUUGGAGAAAAAUUAAAAUUGCUGCAUUUCGCAGUGACCCAUUUACAUGGCAUUCUCAGCUUAGACUGCAUAAGAAGAAAUACAUGUGGUGAAAUGUUGGAACCAUUUCUCUCUUGGUCUCUGUUUAAUGUUGAAAGGGUGAGCUAAUAGGAGGCAGUUUCAACCUCACUCCCACACACCCCUUCCCCAAACUGUCAGUUUCAAGGAUGCAGAUUGCAUUGUAAAGUCAAACUGACUCAUGAAGCAUUGAGGCCAGUGCACUGUUUACUUUCAUCUGUUUGGCAGACACAUUUGUGCCCGAUGUUUGGGAGCCCUUUGUAUCAUUUACUUUAACAAGGGUCCCCAUAAACCUAGCCUACUAGAAAUCAGUUUGGGAUGGAUAUGGUUGGGCUUCUGUGCUAUUUGCUGGGAUUGGGAGAAAUAAAACAAACAAUUUUAGUGGAAGCAAAGAAAUUUAAAGAUUAUUUUAUUUUGCUUGGGUCUACCCUUGGUAAAAAGGGAGGUGGUCGUGUUUCCUUGUGUUGGGUGGCAUGAGAUUAUGUGAAUGUUUUGAUUUUUUUUUUUUUUUUUUUUAAUGAAAUGGAAGAUUUUUCACCGGGACGACAGACAAGACAUGUAUGAUUGCAUGGAAUUAUAAACCCUUGGUGGGGUUUGAGCAUCUGUUUCAAAUGUGGGACUUAAAAGCACCUCUCAGAUGAGAAAUUAUGGGAGGAGGGUGGGAAGGGAAGGGGUGGGAAGGGAUGGGACACAGCUUCUGGCACGAUGGACUAAACCAUGUUGGAUCUAAAAAGUUGGCCUGAAAACCUGAAGCUUAUGCUUCAUAGCUAGGCUAUAAGGUGGACUAGAACCCAGCCCAUGCAAGUCAUGGCGUGCUCGAUGUGGUGACAGUGAACAAAGUGUAUAGGAUGUGCCCAGUGCUAGCAAUGAGAAAGUGUAUACCGAAUGGACUUUGAAGGACCAAAGGUUUUUUAAGUCAAUUGGUAUCACCACCACCCCAGUGACUAGGGUAGUGGGGUGCAUUUGGUUUUCAAAUUGGGUACUUUCAACACUUAGUGCCUGACUGCUGUUCUUCACUGACUUGAUUCAGUCACUCGUAGCUUUAUUGGUCUGAACCAACUCUUUGUUCCCAGGUUACAGACCUGCCUAUCGUUCCAAUAAUCCUGUUUCACUUGAAUGAAGGGAGUAUGUCUUAAAUGUAAAGCUUCUGGUACUCACACUGUGCUCUGAGGUCCAAAUAACUGUCUGUCAAUGUAUAACCUGAUGUCUCAACCCCCAGUGAGAAGAGUCAAUUCUUUGGUGUUCACCGAUGUGGGAGGCUUCACCGGAACAGGCUUUUGCUUUGGGCUCUGCUGUUUGUUUGCAGAACACCCAAGAGCAAGUAAACAUGCUCUCUUCACAGCAGUACCUUAGGGUUUUGCCAUUGUAAAUGGGUCUAAUGUGAUAUGAUAAGACCAGAGAAAUUGGAUGUAAAUUUACAUUUUUGAAUAUGCUUGUUGUUUCACAUGAUACAUUUAGGGUAUGCAGCUCCUUUUGUAGUUUUUAUUUUUACUAUUUAAGUUUGGAAAUGAUGCCAAAUUUUUGUAUUUCUUUAAUCAAUGUGUUCUCUUCGGUGAUAUAUAUUGCAUUAUAUAUUGAUGUGUGUAUCAAUAUAUACUGGUAUGUAUUACACUUACACAUGCAAACACAUAAAUAAGAGGGGGUGAAAAACGUAGCCUUUGCAUUCUCUAUAGCCUCUGCAGAGAGAUCUAAGCAGCGAAAUCUUGGUGUUGUGAUGUACAGAAAUGGAGAAGAGUAUUAAACCAUAUUUAAGAAUAUACUUUGUGUGCUUGAGAUUUUUUAGGACUGUUUCCUAGAAAAGUCUGAACUUUAGAGACAGUAUGAGAGGUCUUUGAAGUUUAUGU
RNAcentral lists this long non-coding RNA (6881 nucleotides) under Marmota monax (woodchuck). The stretch from base 1076 to 1145 matches the Rfam family "tRNA". The record is from RNAcentral. Lineage: Eukaryota; Metazoa; Chordata; Mammalia; Rodentia; Sciuridae.